This is a long non-coding RNA of Gallus gallus (chicken), 2719 nucleotides long. The record is from Ensembl. Lineage: Eukaryota; Metazoa; Chordata; Aves; Galliformes; Phasianidae.
CCAAAAUGGUGCAAGCAUCUCAUGAACCAGACAAAGCAGCCACUCCCAUACAUGGAAGCACAUUUCUUUCAAGGCUGGAUGAAUUUGCCGAUAUGAUUCUGCUUCCUCAUCCCAGGCAGAAGAACAUCUAUUCUUCCUUUUUCGGGGGGCUUAGUUGAAGCCUUGCGCUUCGGUUACUCUCUUACCACUGCCCAGAGUACGUGUGGUUCCUUGGAAAGCACAGAGCAACUCACGCCAAGCACUCCGCCUGUGUUUGGCAGGGCACGAUGCGCUGCGCUGAGCCUCGAGCAUGGCAGCCUCCGUGCCCAAAGAGCAGCAAUACUUAGCCCAUCCAUCUUUGCUGGUGGGAAGAUGUUCUAAAAACAGGAGAGCUGACUUCUUACGGGAGAGUUGGAUGCAAAAGAAAGACACUCAUUUCCCAGUAAAGAUUAAACCACAGUUGGGAUGCCAGAUGAACAAGGCAUUAAAAUCUACAGCCAAGAUGUAUUAGCAGACCUGCCUGACUCCAUGAGAGAGUAAAGCCAGCCUGAGGUAUGUGAAUGCUUCACUCAGACGGAAAGAUACAGCCGUGCUCCCCAGACAUUUCCCAAGAGCAGAGUCUCUGGCUGCAUCACUCCAUUCGCAUCCUGCUGUUUCCAGAGAGCAAAUUUGGCUUUCAGCAACCCCAGGAGAGAAAGCUAACUGGAAGGACAAAGUGCUGCUGGAAACUCCCUGGAAACUGCAUCUGCCAGCAGCGAUAUCUGCAUGUCAAUCUAACUCCCUCUUUUUAUUCUGGAGCAAAAAAGCUGCAUUAUUGCUCUUGCUGCUGUGAUCCCCUCUCAGGCUGCUCUGAUACAUGCCUCUCCAGUUCCCUCCUUUUGGGACAAAUCCCCUCCCAUGCCAUCUGCCUCACGCUCCAGCUUCUCCUCAGCCCUCCCAGCACACAGCCCGGGCCGAGGCCCCUCAGCACCCUGCCUGAGCCCACAGCUACAAGCACUGUGCUGGGGGAAGUUUUGGAGCUCCCCGGUACUUCUGUCUGCCCUGAGAGCCUCAGUGAUGUUUCUGAGAUCGUGAGGGACUCUGAAGGACUGUGGCCGUAUCACCGCUGUGGGCUCAGAUGUUGCCAAAACACUGAAUAGACCCUGUGGUUCCUCUCCUGCUUGCAGGCCUUCCUGGCCAGGGCAGGAGGUGAUGGGACCUGAUGUUAACUUCGUAUCAUAUCCUGCAUCUCUUCUUUGCUCCGGUAGCCUCCAAAACCAUUGGCGUGCACAGGCAGCUAAAGCCACCAAGGUGACAGGGUAGCAUCCUGACAAAACCCUUGCUGGAGGGUAGAUAGAGGAUGAUGUGACAUUUUUCCAUCUACCAUCAUAAAACUGGUGGUGGGCCAACUUGGUGUCCAGUUUACUCCCUGUGUUUGAAGUUUUUUACUAGACAGCCUCUUCCAGGUGCUCUGAUCCAGGCACUGGCUUCGGAUGCUCUUCCCUAAAUCAAGCUGCGUGCCUGACUCUCCCCAUACAUUAACGAGCAAUCUGGUGCACUCCUGCAGCCAAGGAGCAGUGCGGCAAAGGAGCAGCUUACAUCAGAGCUGCAAUGAUGAGAGCUGGAUGUGGUGGAAAGGGAGCAGGCCUCUAGGAAAGAAGGCUCAGGGCACAUCCAGCGUACCAAAUUCUGCAGACUCCCUCGAACCCUUCGCUUUUUAACCCCGACAAGGUCACACUUCUGCUGGGUGAUGUCAGACCCAGUGAUCGAACUGCCGACCUGCAGCCAUCUAAGAGCAGGGAAAUGACUCUCAAGUAGGGCACAACGCCUCUGAUGUCUAACCCUAAGGAGAAUCAUUCAUCCUCCUCUUUCCUGAGAGGUGGAAGCGUACCAGCAGCACGGAGCUGCACAACAAGGACGAAGGACAGCCUGUCCUGUCCUAUGCAAAAAAGUCCCACUCUUGAAGCGAGGCUUCAGAACGGUGUGCGCGACUUUGAUUUGCAUCCAGAGUGGAAACACGCUUGCCAGCCAUCAGGCUGAUCUGAUUUGAAGCAGCUGAGAUAUUAAAUGCACUAAACCAGAAUGUAUAAUAGCUGCGCUGGCAGACCUUUAAUUAUUGUCGUGCUUGUGGGCACCGAUAUCAUUCAAAUUAAAAGCUUUCCCCACUACUUGCAUUUUUUUAAUACGUUGAUGUAUGCUGCACUGAUGGAUUGUCCUCUGUUGUCCUUCUCUCACAAAAUGCUUGGCACAAUUUGCCCCAGCGCAGAGCUAAAAACUAUUGGCACUCGCUUGCCGUAUUUCUGGUUCUCUCCUUGCUUCGUUUUGAAACGGGGACCCCACAACUGGAAGAAAGAUUGGACAGUUUGGAGGGAUGAUGUUAAUUCCUCAGUCACCGGUCCUCCUGUUCAGUAACAGCAGGAAUGCCCCUUGUUAAUAAAAAGACCAAAGUGCUGGUGCAGUCUUCCCUUAAGGAAUGCCUUUGAUAGUGCUGGCUGAUGGUAGAGCAAAGUUUCCUUGCUGCUUGCCGCACAGAUGCUCUCAUUUCCCUCUCAGCUGGUCCACAGACAGAUAUUUGGGGCCGGUUCAGUGCAGAGCUGCAGCAGCAGAAAGCUCAGGCAGCUCCUCUGAAGCCACAGCAGCAUCUCUCAGUGCACGGCUGUCAGUGCCAGAACUUGGCUCCCUGUCGAGUGCUGUGAUGAAGCUGCUCAUUGUCAUUCUGGAACAAGUGGAACUGUUAGAAGCAGAACGAACACAGUACCGG